Molecule: long non-coding RNA, 481 nt
Organism: Myotis davidii
Lineage: Eukaryota; Metazoa; Chordata; Mammalia; Chiroptera; Vespertilionidae
Exons: 3
Source: RefSeq, a predicted model, not a curated record
GUGGGGUAGUUCACGAUGAUGAUGAUGAUGAUGAUGAUGAUGAUGAUGAUGGUGAGGAUGAUAAUGAAGGUGCCACCUCAGGUUGGCUCAUUCCUUACCCUGGACAAAAUUCACACCUGUGUGGCAGGUGAGUACACAGGUGGGAGAUAGGAAGGCCCAGGGAGCCUGAGAGGUGUCAUAGUCAUAGGUAUAUUGAUGACAAAGCAGGUCCCCAGGCACAUGCCUGAACCCGUUAUGGGGAGACGGCGAGCUGAGAACAGGGGAUAAGACUGAAAGUGAGGGAGGCCGGGGGAAUGUAAACAGAGUCAUUUUUUCCCAAAGGGUCAACAUAGGCCUAAAAGAGCUGGGGAUCAGCAUCAAUGAGACCACGCUUGAUACCAUAUUUGCUCACUGUGAGAACAACAACCAAGAAUCUUCUCCCUUACUUCCGGAGCAGCAGCAGGAACUGCGUAACAGAGUCCGUAGGAGAGUCCGCCCUGGA